CAUCGGAUGGCCAAUGCACACCGAAGAAACAAUUCCCUAGAUAGAAUUAAGAUUAACGGGGUGUGGAUGACUGAGGAACAAGAGGUGAGGGAGGGGAUUGUGAAUGCUUUUCAGCAAUUGCUCUCAGAAGAGCCAGACUGGAGAGCUGACAUUGAGGGGUUGCACCUCCAAAGUCUAAACAUCCGUGAAGCUGAAGUCUUGGAGCUGCCUUUCACUGAGGAAGAAAUCCACUCUGCCCUGUUGGAAAUGAAUGGUGAUAAAGCUCCAGGCCCGGAUGGGUUCAUAGUGGCCUUUAGGCAAACUUGCUGGGACUUUGUGAAGGAGGAGAUUGUGGAUCUGUUUAAGGAGUUUUAUGAUCAAAGAUCCUUUGCCAAAAGUCUCAAUACCACUUUCCUGGUCCUCAUUCCAAAGAAAGGUGGGGUUGAGGACCUUGGGGACUUCCGGCCUAUUAGCCUUUUAGGGGGACUGUACAAGCUUUUGGCCAAGGUGUUGGCGAAUAGGCUGAAAAAGGUUCUAGGAAAGGUGGUUUCUGUGGAUCAAAAUGCUUUUGUGAGGGGCAGACAAAUUUUGGAUGCUUCGCUCAUAGCUAAUGAGGUGAUUGACUUCUGGCAUAAACAUAAGGAGAAAGGGUUGAUUUGUAAAUUGGACAUUGAAAAAGCCUAUGAUAGCAUCAAUUGGAAUUUUCUCAUGAAGGUCUUGCAUAAGAUAAGCUUUGGGUCUUGGUGGAUGGAGUGGAUUUGGUGGUGCAUUUCAACUGCCAAAUUUUCUGUCAUGGUCAAUGGGGUGCCAACAGGCUUCUUCUCGAACACCAAGGGGCUGCGUCAAGGGGAUCCUCUUUCUCCUUACCUUUUUGUCUUGGGUAUGGAAGUACUAAGUGCACUUAUAAGAAGGGCUGCUGAUGGGGGCUUCAUUUCAGGCUGUAGACUUCGGGGGAGAGGGAGGAUGGAGAUGAAUGUCUCCCACUUGCUUUUUGUUAACGAUACAAUUAUUUUAUGCGAAGCAAGGAAGGAGCAUCUAACCUCUUUAAGUUGGAUUUUGGCUUGGUUUGAGGCGGCUUCGGGCCUAAGAAUAAACCUAGCUAAAAACGAAUUAAUUCCUAUUGGGGAGGUUCAAGAGAUUGAGGAAAUGGCAGUGGAGCUAGGGUGUAGAGUGGGGUCUUUACCUACUGUUUAUCUGGGGCUGCCCCUUGGAGCCCAACACAAGGCUAUUUCUAUGUGGGAUGGGGUGGAAGAAAGAAUGAGGAAAAGAUUAGCCCUUUGGAAAAGACAAUAUAUUUCUAAGGGUGGGAGAAUCACCCUCAUUAAGAGCACACUGGCCAGCAUAUCUAUUUACCAAUUGUCCCUCUUUCGAAUGCCCAAGAUUGUAGCAAAAAGGCUUGAAAAAGUACAAAGAGACUUUCUUUGGGGAGGGGGAAGUUUGGAAAGGAAAGUCCACUUAAUCAAUUGGGAGGUGGUGUGUACUCAAAAGGAGAAGGGUGGUCUAGGCAUACGAAAGAUUGAUCUCUUGAACAAGGCUUUGCUGGGUAAAUGGAUUUGGAGAUUUGCCUUUGAAAAGGACAAUCUUUGCAAGAAGGUGAUCGGGGUGAAGUAUGGCCAAGAGGGCUUUGGGUGGCGGACUAAUGAAGCUCGCGGGACGUUUGGAGUGGGGGUUUGGAAGGAGAUUCUGAAGGAGGCAAACUGGUGUUGGGAUAACAUAGAGUUCAAGGUGGGUAAGGGGACUAAAGUCAAGUUUUGGACUGAUCAUUGGUGUGGCCAUGUGGCGUUGUCCCAAAAUUUUCCCCAGUUAUGUGCCUUGGCGGUCCAUAGGAAUGCAACGGUCAAUGAAGUGUGGGACUCAAGCCUUGGUCAAGGAGGUUGGAAUCUCAGAUUUUCUAGAGAUUUUAAUGAUUGGGAGCUGGAUUUGAUUGGAGAUUUGUUUAAUAUGUUGAGAGACUUUAGGAUUUCUUUAAAAGAGGACUCAGUGUUAUGGAAAGGAGGGGGUCAUGGCACUUUUGGGGUUAGAGAUGCUUAUAAUUUGCUGGUUGCUCCCAACACCCUCGCCUUCUCGAAAAAGUGCAUUUGGGUGGAUAAGGUCCCAACCAAAACUGUUUUUUUUUUUGCUUGGGAGGCCACAUGGGGGAAGAUUCUCACAUUGGAUAGGCUUAAAAAACGGGGGUGGCAGCUCCCUAAUCGCUGUUUUUUGUGUGGUUGUGAAGAGGAAAAUAUAAAUCACAUUCUUUUACACUGUAUAGUGGUCAGGGUCCUCUGGGAGAUCGUCUUUGCUUUGUUUGGGGUUCAGUGGGUGUUCCUAAAGACAGUCAAAGAGGUUUUACUUAGUUGGAGGGACCCUUUUGUGGGGAAAAAGGUGAAAAAAAAAUUUGGAAUUCCAUUCCGUUGUGUAUUUUUUGGACGGUAUGGAAGGAAAAGAAUAGAUUAGCUUUUAGGGGGGGUUCUUUAGCUAUACAGAAACUCAAAAAUUCUUUUGUUUGUAAUUUGUGGAGUUGGGUUAGGGUGUAUAUGGGAGAGGAGUCCUCUUCGCUCUUAGGCUUUUUGGAGUGGCUAGCGGCUACUUAAGGGCUGGUGAGGUUGUUUGUUUUUUGUGUUUUUUGGUUUAGGCUGCUAUGUAUACUCCUUGUAUGCUUUGUGGCUUUUUGCCCCUUAAUAUAUUUUGUGCUUAUUUAUAUAAAAAAAAAAAAGACAGGUCAAAGAAAUCCUUUAUUUCUCUUUGUUUCAAAUAAAAGUUCAAGCUACCUUAAAAAAUUUGUAUUCCUUAUGGUAAUAAAAUAUGUGUUAAAGCAUUUAAAAUAUAAAUGGGAAAAAGGGUUCUUUUUCUUAAAGUUUUUGGGUCUCUUAAACAUGAUUUUGUGGGGAAGAAACAAAAUGAAGCUUGGAGGGCUGUGCACCCUUGUGCUUGUUUUGGACUCUUUGGAAGGAAAGUAACAUGAAGUCUUUUAAUGAUGCUAAGCACGACCAAGCAAUCAAAUUAUAUCAUGUAUGCUUUAGUGAAUUGAGUUAGGGUGUACAUAGAGGAUCACUCAAUGACUAUAAUAGGUUUUGUAGAUUGGUUGAGCUUCAAGUGAGGAAAAGGAAUUUUUUGUGUAUCUUCUUCUUGUCUAGAUCGGGUGUGUAUUGUAUACAUGGUAUGUACCUUGGUGCGCCUCCUCUUAGGUGCUUUUAAUAUAUUUUCUCAUUUCCCUAGCAAAAGAAAAAGAGGGAAGACAUGUGUCUCAAGCUUAAGAAGACAUGUGGUGGCAUUACACUUCUAUACUAUGAGCUUCUGAAGAUUUGAGCUGUGGAGCUAUAAAGGAGGUCAAAUCAGUGACAGAGAAGUAGGUGAUGUUGUUUGGAAAAAUUUAUUUCAGGGAAAGUUGACAUACCUGC
This is an RNA transcript of Vitis vinifera (wine grape), 3359 nucleotides long. It is a transcript of the gene named mitochondrial ATP-independent inner membrane protease subunit 2, with no coding region annotated. The record is from RefSeq and is a predicted model, not a curated record. NCBI's taxonomy places the organism in Eukaryota, Viridiplantae, Streptophyta, Magnoliopsida, Vitales, Vitaceae. The transcript is spliced from 2 exons.